AUACGGCCGAAUUUCGUGAAUUACGAAAGCGGGGGACCCGAUCAUUGGGGUGAAUUUUGCGCCGAUCCGCAUUAUGGAUCUUGGCAAAUAGGGCGGCCUGGACGCGCCCGAAUCCGUCAGCUAACCUCGUAGGCAUUGA
This 139-nucleotide small RNA is filed under the name Paenibacillus thiaminolyticus. RNAcentral's name for it is "ydaO/yuaA leader". It matches the Rfam family "c-di-AMP riboswitch aptamer (ydaO/yuaA leader)", at positions 12 to 118 of the family's 134-position model. Rfam says of the family: This family represents a conserved RNA structure found upstream of the ydaO and yuaA genes in Bacillus subtilis and related genes in other bacteria. The ydaO/yuaA element is thought to act as a genetic "off" switch for the ydaO and yuaA genes in its native state. It is believed that the element may be triggered during osmotic shock leading to activation of ydaO, a predicted amino acid transporter gene, and members of the yuaA-yubG operon which code for KtrA and KtrB K+ transporters. Lineage: Bacteria; Bacillati; Bacillota; Bacilli; Caryophanales; Paenibacillaceae. The record is from RNAcentral.